UUAUAUCUAUAUCCUCCUCCUGUAAUCAAGAGAUAUGCCAACCAGAUAUCUUUCUCUUGUUAGACAGAUCGUUUUGUGGGUUGUCCUGAGCUACAGACCCGACCUUUGUGGGGCACAUGGACCCAGCAGGUCAGUGCUGUAGGCUGAUGAUGCUUCCUGAGCCUAUCACCUGUUGUGCAUCUCUAACCAGUUUGCUUUGUGGAAAUGAAUACAUUAUGAUGGGCACGAGCCAGAAGGAUCCUGCCUGGGUUUAGCUCUGCUGAGGCCAGAGUGCUGCAAGGAUGGGGUAGGUCCACGGUUUCUUGUAUGUGAGUGAUGCUAAUUAACAUCUGGGGAAUAACAGAAUUGUAGGGGUUGGUUUGUUUUUAACACUUGCUGUUCUGUAUGAGUAGAGAUCAUGUGGGGAAAGAAUAAGUUUGCUUUUUAUUUAUUUAUUUAAAGAUAGGCAGGCAUCAAAACCCCAUUCUCCUCUUUAAUCUCUUCAAGCUGAAGGUGCUUAGAACUUGUUGCACAGACUCAUCCACUGGCAGCUUAAUUAACUAAUGGUCCCAGAAAGCACUUAAGAG
Molecule: long non-coding RNA, 566 nt
Filed under: Coturnix japonica (Japanese quail)
Lineage: Eukaryota; Metazoa; Chordata; Aves; Galliformes; Phasianidae
Description: lncRNA (ENSCJPG00005021351.1)
Source: RNAcentral